CAGGAGCCUAAAGAGAUGUCUUUCUAUGUUCUGUUGGCCAAUUCAGAACUUGGGUAGUGAAAUGGUCAGUUCAUUAGAAAGAAACAGCU
Molecule: small nucleolar RNA, 89 nt
Filed under: Cavia aperea (Brazilian guinea pig)
Lineage: Eukaryota; Metazoa; Chordata; Mammalia; Rodentia; Caviidae
Source: RNAcentral